This 507-nucleotide ribosomal RNA is filed under the name Rhabdoblatta formosana. Its description in RNAcentral is "partial 16S ribosomal RNA". It matches the Rfam family "Bacterial large subunit ribosomal RNA", at positions 1831 to 2600 of the family's 2925-position model. The record is from RNAcentral. Lineage: Eukaryota; Metazoa; Arthropoda; Insecta; Blattodea; Blaberidae.
CUCUUCUUGUUUAUUUAAGAAGUAAGACCUGCCCAAUGAUUUAUUUUAAUGGCCGCAGUAUAUUGACUGUGCAAAGGUAGCAUAAUCAUUAGUCUUUUAAUUGAAGGCUGGAAUGAAUGGUUAAACGAGAUAAUUACUAUCUUAAUAUUAUUAAUUUUGAAUUUAAAUUUUAAGUUAAAAAGCUUAAAUUAUUUUUUGGGACGAGAAGACCCUAUAGAAUUUAAUACUUAUAUUUAUUAAUUGGGUUUGUAAAUGAUUUAAUUAUUAUACAUAUUUUGUUGGGGUGAUGGAAAGAUAAAAGUAACUUUUUUUAUAAUUUAAUUAUAAAUUUAUAUUAUAGUGAUCCAUUAUUAGUGAUUAAAAGACUAAAUUACCUUAGGGAUAACAGCGUAAUCUUUUUUUAGAGUUCAUAUCAACAAAAAGGAUUGCGACCUCGAUGUUGGAUUAAGAUUAUCUUUGGGUGUAGAGGCUUGAAAAUUAGGUCUGUUCGACCUUUAAAAUCUUACA